GAGCCAGCCGUUGGGGUAG
Molecule: microRNA, 19 nt
Filed under: Monodelphis domestica (gray short-tailed opossum)
Lineage: Eukaryota; Metazoa; Chordata; Mammalia; Didelphimorphia; Didelphidae
Description: mdo-miR-7311-5p
Source: miRBase by way of RNAcentral